UAAGGAAUAUUGGACAAUGGUCGUAAGACUGAUCCAGCCAUGCCGCGUGCAGGAAGACGGCCCUAUGGGUUGUAAACUGCUUUUGUACCAGAGAAAGCCUAUCUACGUGUAGAUAGCUGAUAGUAUGGUAAGAAUAAGCAUCGGCUAACUUCGUGCCAGCAGCCGCGGUAAGACGAAGGAUGCAAGCGUUAUCCGGAUUCAUUGGGUUUAAAGGGUGCGUAGGCGGGCUUGUAAGUCAGUGGUGAAAUCUCUCAGCUUAACUGAGAAACUGCCAUUGAUACUGCAGGCCUAGAGUAUAGAUGACGUUGGCGGAAUAUGACAUGUAGUGGUGAAAUACUUAGAUAUGUCAUAGAACACCGAUUGCGAAGGCAGCUAACGAAACUAUAACUGACGCUGAGGCACGAAAGUGCGGGGAUCAAACA
RNAcentral lists this ribosomal RNA (422 nucleotides) under uncultured bacterium. RNAcentral describes it as "bacterial SSU rRNA". It matches the Rfam family "Bacterial small subunit ribosomal RNA", at positions 355 to 774 of the family's 1533-position model. The record is from RNAcentral.